CCUACGGGAGGCAGCAGUGGGGAAUAUUGGGCAAUGGGCGCAAGCCUGACCCAGCAAAGCCGCGUGAAGGAAGAAGGCUUUCGGGUUGUAAACUUCUUUUUUCAGGGACGAAGCAAGUGACGGUACCUGAGGAAUAAGCCACGGCUAACUACGUGCCAGCAGCCGCGGUAAUACGGAGGUGGCAAGCGUUAUCCGGAUUUACUGGGUGUAAAGGGCGGGUAGGCGGGGACGCAAUGCAGAUGUGAAAACCACGGGCUCAACCUGUGGCCUGCAGUUGAAACUGUGUGUCUUGAGUACGGGAGAGGCAUACGGAAUGCGUGGUGUAGCGGUGAAAUGCGUAGAUAUUAGGAAGAACACCGGUUGCGAAGGCGGUCUGCUGGACAGCAACUGACGCUGAGGCGCGAAAGCGUGGGGAGCGAACAGGAUUAGAUACCCUAGUAGUC
This 443-nucleotide ribosomal RNA is filed under the name uncultured bacterium. RNAcentral's name for it is "partial 16S ribosomal RNA". It matches the Rfam family "Bacterial small subunit ribosomal RNA", at positions 338 to 795 of the family's 1533-position model. The record is from RNAcentral.